RNAcentral lists this ribosomal RNA (490 nucleotides) under uncultured Dyadobacter sp. RNAcentral describes it as "bacterial SSU rRNA". It matches the Rfam family "Bacterial small subunit ribosomal RNA", at positions 8 to 507 of the family's 1533-position model. Lineage: Bacteria; Pseudomonadati; Bacteroidota; Cytophagia; Cytophagales; Spirosomataceae. The record is from RNAcentral.
AGAGUUUGAUCCUGGCUCAGGAUGAACGCUAGCGGCAGGCUUAAUACAUGCAAGGCGAGGGGGCAGCAAUGUCACCGUCGUACGGGUGCGUAACGCGUAUGCAACCUACCUUCAACUGGGGGAUAGCCCGGGGAAACCCGGAUUAAUACCGCAUAAUACAGGGGGCCCACAUGGGUCUAUUUGUUAAAGAUUUAUUGGUUGAAGAUGGGCAUGCGUUCGAUUAGCUAGUUGGUAUGGGUAACGGCCUACCAAGGCGACGAUCGAUAGGGGAGCUGAGAGGUUGAUCCCCCACACGGGCACUGAGAUACGGGCCCGACUCCUACGGGAGGCAGCAGUAGGGAAUAUUGGGCAAUGGAUGCAAGUCUGACCCAGCCAUGCCGCGUGCCGGAUGAAGGCCCUCAGGGUUGUAAACGGCUUUUAUUCGGGAAGAAGAGCAGGGAUGCGUCCUUGUGUGACGGUACCGAAUGAAUAAGCACCGGCUAACUCCGUG